UGCAGUCGAGCGAACUGAUUAGAAGCUUGCUUCUAUGACGUUAGCGGCGGACGGGUGAGUAACACGUGGGCAACCUGCCUGUAAGACUGGGAUAACUUCGGGAAACCGAAGCUAAUACCGGAUAGGAUCUUCUCCUUCAUGGGAGAUGAUUGAAAGAUGGUUUCGGCUAUCACUUACAGAUGGGCCCGCGGUGCAUUAGCUAGUUGGUGAGGUAACGGCUCACCAAGGCAACGAUGCAUAGCCGACCUGAGAGGGUGAUCGGCCACACUGGGACUGAGACACGGCCCAGACUCCUACGGGAGGCAGCAGUAGGGAAUCUUCCGCAAUGGACGAAAGUCUGACGGAGCAACGCCGCGUGAGUGAUGAAGGCUUUCGGGUCGUAAAACUCUGUUGUUAGGGAAGAACAAGUACAAGAGUAACUGCUUGUACCUUGACGGUACCUAACCAGAAAGCCACGGCUAACUACGUGCCAGCAGCCGCGGUAAUACGUAGGUGGCAAGCGUUAUCCGGAAUUAUUGGGCGUAAAGCGCGCGCAGGCGGUUUCUUAAGUCUGAUGUGAAAAGCCCACGGCUCAACC
RNAcentral lists this ribosomal RNA (577 nucleotides) under Priestia megaterium. Its description in RNAcentral is "bacterial SSU rRNA". It matches the Rfam family "Bacterial small subunit ribosomal RNA", at positions 56 to 614 of the family's 1533-position model. Lineage: Bacteria; Bacillati; Bacillota; Bacilli; Caryophanales; Bacillaceae. The record is from RNAcentral.